UACGGAGGAUCCUAGUGUUAUCCGGAUUUAUUGGGUUUAAAGGGAGCGUAGGCGGGAGGUCAAGUCAGCUGUGAAAUGUAUCUGCUUAACGGGUACACUGCAGUUGAAACUGGUUUUCUUGAGUGCGUAAGAGGCAGGCGGAAUUCGUUGUGUAGCGGUGAAAUGCUUAGAUAUGACGAGGAACUCCUAUUGCGAAGGCAGCUUGCUGGGUCGUUACUGACGCUGAUGCUCGAAGGCGCGGGGAUCAAACAGGAUUAGAUA
This 261-nucleotide ribosomal RNA is filed under the name uncultured prokaryote. Its description in RNAcentral is "partial 16S ribosomal RNA". It matches the Rfam family "Bacterial small subunit ribosomal RNA", at positions 524 to 784 of the family's 1533-position model. The record is from RNAcentral.